Molecule: transfer RNA, 98 nt
Filed under: Acidobacteriota bacterium
Lineage: Bacteria; Pseudomonadati; Acidobacteriota
Description: tRNA-Sec
Rfam family: Selenocysteine transfer RNA
Source: RNAcentral
GGAAGCGCCGGGGGUCUGGUGGCCCUCGCGGACGUCAAAUCCGUUGGCGUCCCGGUUUUGCCGGGAUGGGUGGGUUCGAUUCCCAUGCGCUUCCGCCA